CUUCUUGUGCUCUUCCAUUGCGCUUGGAUUGGUUAAUAUUGAUUUGUUUACUCAAUGGGCAGUGUGCUGGGUUGGCAACCGAUGAUGGGGACUAGGGGUUCUCUUCCUCCUUGGCUGCUCCAUUUGUUAUUAUCCAUGAAGUGUUGCACGUACGUAACUUUUUUCACUUUAAAUUAUCAUUAAUACUUUUGGCAUUUUAACCUAACUUUUGAAAUUGGAUUUUUAGAAUUCUGAUUUCAUAGAUGUACCAAACAAUUGAGAGUGUUGAAGUUUAACGAUUGAGUCCGAAACAUUUUCUCUAGAAGAGAUCAGAUUCUGGCAUAAUCACCGGUGUAAUAUCUUUCGAUUUCCUUUCUUUUUCAUAUAUAUAUAUAUAUAUAUAUAUAGAUAUAAAUAUAUCUGGAUUCUUCAGUUUUCUCUUGCCAAAUCCUAAAUUACUUCCAAUUUUGAGAUUUUGGUUUUUUGGGCUUUCUUUGGUAGUUUACGAAUUUUGAGAUUUGUUGGAGAAAAAAUGGGACUUGGAGAAAGACGAGUAUGGUAAUUUGGGGAUUUUCGAUGUUUGCUUAGUGUGAUUUUAGGUGUAAUUUCAAAUUUCUCCAUUUCAAAUUUCUCCUUUUUUGCGCAAUUUGUCACCUCAGGUGAGUUUUGUUUCUUCGUUCUUAUUUUUUUUGCACUCUUUUUUUAGUAAUGAAGAUAUACUGGGUAUAUAUUUGUUAUCCUAUUAUUAAGAGGAUCACAGAAAAGAAAAAUAAUAGCAACUUAUUUACUAAAGAAGAGAAGAUAACUUUCAAACUGGUCCUUCAUCAAGGAUGACAGCAACUCCGUUGAGUUUGAUUCUUUGUAUGUCUUUAUGAAGUUAGAACAUGGUUCAUGCUUAUUACUCAAAUUAUUGUUAUAGCUUUGAAUUUGCACCCAAUUCACUUUCUAACUAAACACGUGGAUGUGUAAUUUGAGAUUGGCACUAAGCAGGGAGCACGAACAGACUGCUGCAAUUCACUCUUUCCUACUUCUCUAUUCGCCGCUCUCUAUGCUUUGUUGCUUCUUCGCUACAAACCUAAAUUCAUCCUCUUGAAUCACUUUACUUAUUUAAGAGUUUGACUUCAAGACUCAAAGCUUCUGCUUGCUAUUAACAGGUCUAAGUUUUAAUGGUUUAAACGCCUAAUUGAUGCUUCUGCUUGCUACCAAGUUUUUCGAUAGGUAUGUUCAUAAUUCUCUUUACCUGAAGCUUUAAAUUAGAUAUACUAUAGCCAAUUAAUUAUCUAUUGCGGUAUAUGAAGGAAAUUCAAAUUCUGAUUUGGCUUUUUGAUUUAACGCAAUAGGGUUCAAAAUUUUGGUUCUUUUAGCUGAUACUUAUUUCCUUAUUUGCGAUUCAUGGAUCUUUAGUUAUAAUCGUGUUCGAUUAGAGAACAAUACUUGAUUUAUUAUCCUUGGAUUGCAUGGAAAGAUUGACCGUCCAAAUUUUAGCAUCUAUUUGCUUUUCACUUUAACCAAAAAUAAAUAUUUCUACCUAAAACUUCUUAUUUCGAGUUAAUUUCAUACACAUACAAAAUUUACUGAAGGCUAUUGUAGAAUUUUCUGAGCCUUUUCCUUUUUUGUUAACCCUUUAUUGCUAAACUGUAAAAUCUUGAUGUUCCAAGUGCUGGCGACUAUCAAUGUUUACUAUCAAGGAAGGGUCCAGGUAAUGUUCUUUUUUAUAAUUAUGCCUUUUCUGCGCUGUUAGAAUAUUUCUUCUCUUUGGCAGUGGAUUAUGUCUUUGUCGCAAGCAGGGCAUGUGAGUGUGAGUUUAUAUAUUUCAAAAGCUAUAAGUAUUAUUCGUGUUUGUUUGUGGACCAUUAAUACUAUUUUUGAAAAGCUAGCCAUCAUGAAAUGUAAUUUGGAACUUCACUAAUGAAAGAGAAGUUGUUGUUAGGAUAAAAGAUUAAGCGGUAGCGACUCACACUAUAACUAACUAUUAGCUAAUAAAAGAUGAAAUAUGACUAAUAAUUAAUGUUGGAAUAGAAAUGUUAUGGUUAACUGAGACUUAAAUAACAGCGAAAGGAGAGAGGUAUGUCAUACUCAUAUAUGUGGGAAAAAUAUCAAGCCUCAUUCCCCCUUAAUUUUAAGUAUUUUAGAUAAGCUGAAAUAACUUGAAGCUCAUUCUUUUGUGUCGUUUAUGUUCUCCCCUUAAAGCUUAUAGCAACUUUGUUAUGGGAAAGUCUUUUUGUACUAGGGUCUAAGUUUGUUGUUACUCAACUACUGUAUCCUUUUUAUAUGUUGCUCAUAUUUCCUUUGAAGAACAAUAAUCUUGACACAUAAAAAUGAUAAGCUACCCUCGAAAGAAACAACAAACAAAACUUUUAAGUUAUUGAAGCAGCAAACACACUUUCCAUAGUAGUUCUGUGUGUUAUUUUGAUUAUAUUUUUAUCACUGUAAAAGCAACGCAUCUCUCGCAAUACAUUUGUCCUACAAAUUGUUAACUAAAGGAUCCAUGUACUUUUUUGUCACAGGUCUUUUGCAUCAUAUUUUGACAAACUCUCUGAUUAAAGGUAAUUUAUUCUGUCUUACUCCGAUUGAUAUAUUGUUAAGUAUAAAUAUUGGGUGCUUACUUAAGGUUCAACUCAUAUACAUUGUAUUCCUUUACUAAAUAAUGUGGAUCAUGCAAUUUAGUUGAAUUUCAACUCUUGUUUUUGGAGUUUCUCAGCUAUCCCAUGCUUUAAAAAAAUCAUGAAAAUUAGAAAAGAUGCAGAGUUGUUAUAUUGGGAUCAAAUAAAUGAUGAAGCAGCAAAAGACCAACAUGCUAACAAAAUUGCUAGGCGCAAUAAGUGUACAAACUUAUGCAGCCUCACAAAAAGGAAGUAGUUUUAGCGCGUUGACGAGCAAGUAGAGCUAAAUUGAACAGAUGUCGUCUUUUUUCGGCAAUUAGGUUAUUGCCGAUUAACCUAAUAUGUAUCAUUUCGAGACUACUAUUUUAUCUAAGUUAUAAGAGGUUCAUUUCUUCUAUGUAAAACGGGUCAGAGAACUAUACUGUAGAACCUUAGUGUGCAAAUUCUGGCAACUAUCAAUGUCUAUUAUCAAGGAAGGGGCGAUGUGAUGUGCUUGCUUUUUUAUAAUUAUGUCUUUUCUGCUCUGGUGGAAUAAUUCUUCUAUUAGAAAUGUAAUAUUGUGAGAAGUAUAGGUAUUUUUCGCAUUUGUUUAUAGACCUUCAAUAAUAUGUUUAUUUUGAAAAGCUAGCUAUCUUUGUUAUCAAGAUGAAAAAAUAAACAAUAAUAACUAAUAUUGAACCACCUAUGAAUGUAAAAAAGUUGAUAUAAAAUAUUUUGAAAUAAAAAUAUUUUUGUUAACUGGGAAUAGACAACAAGAAAGGGAAGUGUAAAUUUUUUAGUUUCUAAAAUAUGCAUCUCUAAGAUGCUACAAUCCUAAAAAGUCCAAAAUUAAGCGUUAAAAUCUAUUUCUACUGGUGCUUGUAAUUUUUCUACUUUAAUGUCAUAGUUAAAUACUACAUUGGUUUAUGCAGAAAGCUUAACAAUGGAUAACGGAGAAUAUUUAAAGACCGUGGAGCAUGUACAUUGCAUCAUGUUGCAUGAUUCAGAUUACUUUCACUUAUAUGGUGUCUUGGCAAAGGAUUUGAAACAAGUUAAGUCAGCCUGGUAAAAUCUCAUGUAUUCUCAUUAAAAUUCAUAAUGUGCUCCGUCAUUUUCUUUCUCCUAUAAGCUCAAUAAAAUUUGUUCUCUCCUGCAUUCUGUUUUUGCCCCUCCCGUUUGAACUUUGGUCCGAAUUCUUGAACAUGUGAUUCUUCAAGAACUUAACAAUGAAAAUUAUAAUUUCUACCUUGACUUUGUUUGUGCAGCGUGUUUCUUCGCUUGGAAGCUAACAAGGUAUUAACCUGGAGUCUAAGUUUGCUUCGAGCAUAAAGAGAAUGAGUUUGUUUCCUCUUCAUCUUCCACCUUUUUUCCUCUUGUACAUAAAAAUAUGGGAAUAUGAAAUUCCGCAUCCUAUAAUCUGGUUCACAUGGUAAAAUAGUGCUACAGUACUGGAGGAGAAGUUACAAGAAGUAUACAAACUUAUAAAAUUAAAAGUAAAUCCAUAUCAAAAAGCCAAAAUAUAGUUGACCUGGAUUUAUUACCUUUGGUCCAUAUAGAACCUUAUUUUUUCCUGAAAAUGAAAAAGAAAAGAUUAACCAUGAUAGCGAGUUUUAUGCGUAUGUGUUGUUGCACUCCAAUUCCUAUGUAGAUAUGUGGAGUAUUCGUGUAUUUUCAUUUUUUUACUGGCAGAAGUCUUUUAAUGCAGGCUAAAAUUGAGUCUACCAACUUUUUGAAAGCUAUAGUGAAGCACAAAUAGGGAUGUACGAUGGACAAUGUCUAAAAAGGUAUGUCAAUUACGAUCCAGCUAAUUUAGUUUUCUUCUAUUCCUUUUCUCUACUCGUUUUGCAAAAAUAAAAUAAGCUAGACUAACAAAUUAUUAUUACAGGUACCAAUAUUUUGUGAAAGGUAGGCAAGAAAGGAGCCUAACCACAACAUGGCGGCUGCACUAUGUUCUUUUUUAGGAGAUGGAGUGGCUGCACUACAUUUUAUCAAUUUGCGAAUUGUGUAAUAUGUGAUCACAUUUAUUCAUCCAAGAGUAAACAAUGUGUUCCUAUAUGUACGCAAGUAAUUUUCAACCGCUAUUAUACAAUGUAGUAUUUUUGUUGUUUUUUACUUAUAAAAUUUUAUAUCAUAACAAAGUUAAUAAAAAAUAAAUGUUUCAGC
This 4724-nucleotide long non-coding RNA is filed under the name Nicotiana benthamiana. RNAcentral describes it as "long non-coding RNA (NBEN_LNC040471)". The record is from RNAcentral. Lineage: Eukaryota; Viridiplantae; Streptophyta; Magnoliopsida; Solanales; Solanaceae.